Long non-coding RNA from Thrips palmi, 1927 nucleotides. RefSeq lists it as uncharacterized. The record is from RefSeq and is a predicted model, not a curated record. The transcript is spliced from 9 exons. NCBI's taxonomy places the organism in Eukaryota, Metazoa, Arthropoda, Insecta, Thysanoptera, Thripidae.
UGGUUCUCCUAAAACUUUUACGAUUUCUAAUGCGGCUUCCCACAUGAGAUUCGCGAACUAAAAGGGUUAUGAGAAUUCCACAGGAGCUUUCGAGAAAUUAUUGACUCUCGAACCUCGUACUGCACCGAGAGAGCUGCGACGGGGCCGUCAGAAAGACGGCCGCAACCGUACGUGCGACGAAGAAAGGUUGGUGGUCCCACUGACCGAUUUCUCCCCGACAGUGUGGGACACGGAUUAACAGUGUUUAGAGAAUCACUCGGGGAGUUGGGGAGCGUUCCAGACAGCCGCCGCCACAGCGGGCACUGGCGGGCACUCGGACAGAGGUCGGAAGGUGCUUCAGGCGAGCAAUUGAGCUGAGCAGUACUGCCGUCGAAGAAGACAGCACACACAGCCCGCCCAGUUGGACAUCGACUCCACGACAGCCGGUCGGAGCCGUCCGUCAGACGGAGACAGGUGUGCCGUGAUCAGACAGAGAGAGGUGGUCUCAUCCGACCCUCAACUGCGUGUCUCGACAGUCUCAUAGAGCUUCCGGCGAGUGGUUGGCCGUCACCGAGGACAGCCGCCAGCACUUGCGCCAGCGCGCCGUCGACUCCCCGACGGUCACUCAGAGCCAAGGGCGCUGCCCGAAAACCGCUCCACCCUUGACUCAGCCACGCCACGCGAGCGACUGUCCUUGAGAUGCAGCGGGGAAAAGCCGCCGCAGCCUCCGCAGCCGCCGCAGCCGCCAGCACGACGUGAAUGCCAAGACCCUGGUGACUGCAGCCAUGGGCGAGACAAAAGGUGCUGGCUUGAGUUCUGCAAGUGACUGCCAGCUUGGCCGGGCCGCGCCGCCACCCGAACCUCGCACAGCCGCCAGCACGCCACCCACUCCCUGGAACGACGAGCCUUGUCGGGUCCGUUGCGUGAUAUCAGCCGUGACUGACAUCUGAGCCGCAGCUUCUACCUGGAACAGCGUCAACCCCACGGCGGUCACUCCGGAAGUGGCUCUGGUGCUGGCUGGGACGCCCAAAGGUGGUUCCAGCGAGUGGUCGAUUCGGCCGGGACCAUCACGCCGUCCGAGACGCCGUCCGAGACGCCGUCCGAGACGCCGUCCACCCAUCGAUGCCACCCCCAGACCGGGAAUCGUCGCGCUGCCGGGGCCGGCAAUCCAGUCCAGGUCGAGCCCGUGGUCCAGCUCCUGGUCCAGCCCAUGGUCCAGCCCGUGGUCCAGCCCGUGGUCCAGCCCGCGGUCCAGCCCGCGGUCCAGCUCCCGGUCCAGCCCAUGGUCCAGCCCAUGGUCCGGCCCAUGGUCCAGCUCUUGGUCCAGCCCUUGGUCUAGCCCCUGGUCCAGCCCAUGGCCAGCCAACAGCCCUUGGUCCGUAGCCCAUGGUCCAACUCCUAGUCCGGCCCAUCGUCCAGCCCCUGGUCCAGCCGCGCCGACGCGCGGCCUCAGCUUGCCUGCAAGGGCGCCUGGCCGACCUGGAUGGGGGCAGCGGCACGAGGCGCGCAGAGAGCCCGUCCGCCCGUCAUCCCUCUCCGCUGCCUCCACCGGCUCCCACACUCUGUCCAAAACGAACUGCCGCUGAGGGCGUGUAUGCACGCGUCUCUUGGUGUGUGUGUGUGUGUGUGUGUGUGUGUGUGUGUGUGUGUGCGCGUGUUUACGGCCUUGGAGCCGUCACCGGUCUACUCAGCCCGAUGGGUCACCCUUUGUAAAAGUUUGUGUAAAAUGAUUGUGGGGAUAUGCUAGAACGUGCAAGAUUUCUAGCGCAUUUGCCACACAUGUUGCCCCGGUACAUGCGUUUUUGGAUUGUGUUGAAAUUUUGAACUGUGUAUGCGGGGUUGCCCCCCUCCCCCCCCCCCUCCAGUCGACCUGAGUCUGAAACUAGUCCCGAAUAUUGCAUUGUUUUCUUAAUGGUAAAGUGUACUUUGUGAUUUGUCUGUAACUGGC